CUGUGGGCAGCACUGGAGUGGUCUUCCCUUUCUCAAAUGGCCAUCUGUUCUGAUUAAAGAUCUAUGUCUAAUUUGAUAAGUGAGAAAGGGAUCACAACUCCAGUGCUGCCUACAG
Molecule: microRNA precursor, 115 nt
Filed under: Fragaria vesca subsp. vesca
Lineage: Eukaryota; Viridiplantae; Streptophyta; Magnoliopsida; Rosales; Rosaceae
Description: Fragaria vesca miR11310 stem-loop (fve-MIR11310)
Source: miRBase by way of RNAcentral